This 1531-nucleotide long non-coding RNA is filed under the name Homo sapiens (human). Its description in RNAcentral is "HSALNT0338045". Lineage: Eukaryota; Metazoa; Chordata; Mammalia; Primates; Hominidae. The record is from RNAcentral.
UGCUAGAAUUACAGGUGUGGGCCACUGCGCCUGGCCCAUACAUGCAUUUUAACAGCUACAUUCAUGGAUGCAUUUAGCAAGCAACCUGGCUUCACAUGCAAGGCACAGUGCUAGGAAUUAGGUCUACAGGGAUGAGCAAGAUGUGGACCCCGCCUCUGCUGUCUCCAGGCCACUAGGGACGAUGGUCGGGGAAUAGACCACUGAGAUUGAAGUGAUGAAAGUCUCAAGGAAAGAACAGGGAGGCAGAGGUUGCAGUGAGCCAAGAUUGCGCCACUGCACUCCAGCCUGGGCGACAGAGCGAGACUCUGUCUCAAAACAAAACAAACAAACAAAAAAAGAACUCUGGCAUUCCACUGAACACGUUCUCCUUCAAAACUGGGUCCAAUCAUUCUGCUGACACCAAGAGAGUGCCUAAAGGGACAGCCCAACUCAGGCCUUAGAUUUAUCUUGAGAGAAAAGUCCUAGAAGCAUUUUGAUUCUCAUAGAUGAAAGGACACCAGCACGGAGGACAUGAUUGGUCUUCUCGCCUCUCAAGCUGCGGUGGUGCUGUCCGAUUUGUGCAUAGCCAGAGGAAGAUUUCCUGAGAAGCCAGUCAAGCAUGAGCUCCAGGGUCCUUGCCUGUGUGCCCCUCUUCCAAGGUCCUGUACCGAUUUUUUAAAAAUUCAUAAUUGUAUAAUACUUUUCUUAAAUGGUGUGGGGCACAAAACAUAGACCUGCAUCGUAAGACCUGGCUCUACCCCUGGAAUAUGUUUCUGAUCUGAAGAUGACAACCUGGAGCAGUAAGCCCUUCAGUCCUUGGCAACAAUUAAUCAUGUUUUGAUUGAACAUGGCUCCUAAUUGUAAGGAGGCUUCAAUGUUAAGAAGUGGUUUGUCUUCACUGUACUGUAGAUUCUGACUUCAAUACACAUGUGACCUCAAAAAGUAAAUUAAUGCCGCCAGAUCCAAUUCUUCACAUCCUUUCUGUCAGUAGCGCAGGUUCAAGAAGGCAGCUGGACACACUGCCUGGCACAAAGUGGGUGCCUGCCUCCAGCUCCUGCCUGAGGUUUAUCUACAAAUGACACAGAAAGGACACCAGGCCCAUUCAGAUGGCAACCCAGGAAGACACCAGUCCUUCUGUCCUCACAUUAACAGAAGGAGGCCUCUGCUCGAGAGCCUUCAUGGGGGCUGAGGAACCUUUGGGAGCCUGAGCUGAUGGAGACUGGGCCUAAGCCUUUGGCCUACAGAGUCUGAGACCCUGGUGAUGUGGGCGCCCCAGGCAAUGAAUGCUGCCUUCAUAUCACCAGUAGUGUUUAUGUUAGAAUGUGCCCCUUCAGUGACUGUGGCAGUCUGCAAUGUAUUAAUCCACUCAAUGGCUAGGGCCUUUAACGAGUAUUAUAUACUUCCAAGAAGGUGCUAGCAGAGAGCCUCACCAUGCAUUUUACAGCAAAGAAGUGAGCAAUGUCAUUAAGACACCCUCCAACUUGCAGUUUUUAGACAGAAGGCCAAUUCUGUAUGUAUAAGAACACUGUAUGUAUUAAACGUGGUAAUGAUC